RNAcentral lists this unclassified non-coding RNA (2096 nucleotides) under Octopus sinensis (East Asian common octopus). RNAcentral describes it as "leucine-rich repeat-containing protein 59-like, transcript variant X2". The record is from RNAcentral. Lineage: Eukaryota; Metazoa; Mollusca; Cephalopoda; Octopoda; Octopodidae.
AGUUUGUAAAAACAUCCGCCAAAUACGUGUCUUUGUCAACAUGUGAGCCACGUCUAUCUUGGAGUCUUACCACGUCAACACCCACCGAACUCCUCGCUUCUCUCUAUACAUACAGUUAUAUAUAUACGUGUUCUCUUUCUCUCUAUAUAUAUUUAUUUAUAUGUAAGUGUAUAUACAUACAUAUAUAUAUAUAUGCAUACAUAUCUACAUAAAAAUAUACACACAUAAAUUAUAUAUAUAUUUAAUACUUUCUCUGUGUCUGGAAAAUUUACAUACACCCAGUAAUGAAGCCGUGAUUGCAUACCUUCGGGAUAUAUUAUAUACACUCAGGACUAUCUCUUUCACCAGUGUAUAUAAAUAUAUGUAUAUACAUCGAUCUAUCCAUCCAUCCAUCGAUCCAUUGAUCUCUAAGGCUGCUGGUUUAAAGAUCUAAAGAAACCCAUUCAUAUAUAUAUAUAUGUGUGUGUAUGUGUUUAGCUCUUAAGAAGGGCUCCGGUCAUCGUUUUGUUGUGUCCCAACGGAUUUUACUUGGCGAGAGCGCUUUGAUAUAGGAACAACGCGCACCCGUUUAUUUAUAUAAAUCUAUAUUCAAUUCCUUUGGGACUAAACCACCCUCUUGCAACUAUGUCGAAAUAUAAGGACAAACUGGACGGCAAGGAGCUAGACCUGAGUAUGUGCUCGCUGAACACGAUCAGCGUCCGGGAUAUCGCCCUGUUACCGAGGGCCACGUCUUUGAAUUUAUCCUACAACCGUCUCACCCAGCUACCCAGCAACUUCUGCUCCAGUCUCACGCACCUCACCCGGCUCGAUCUCAGCAACAACAGUCUCACCGAGCUACCGGACGACUUCGGUUCGAUGGUCAACCUCAAGCACUUGGACCUUCUCGGCAACCAGCUGACCCUCUUGCCCCUGACGUUUGGCGAGCUGGCCAAACUGAAGUGGCUCGACGUGAAAGACAACCCUCUCAACCCAGUGCUGCGCAGCGUGGCCGGCGACUGUCUCAACGAUGCCGAGUGCCGCAAGUGCGCCAGCCUGCUGGUCAGCUACAUGAAGCAGUUUCGAGCCGACUUCGAGCGACUGGAAGAGGCCCGUGAAAUCAGACGGGCGGAGAGAGAAGCAGCCAGGCUGGAAGUCCGACGACAGAAAGAAAAAGCAAAGAAAUUACUUGAAAAAGAAAAGCGCAGGAAGGAACAUGAGACGAACAGGAUUCUUGAAGUUUCUGCUCAGACUGCUGCCCUUUACGAGUCCGCCAACGCUAACCCGAAAACCAACAGGGGUAACCGGAGCAACAACAGUACCCCUACAGAUCCUAGGACUGCUACUACGCCCACGACACCCAUCAAUAGCAACAACAACAACAUCAAUAAGAACAAUCAGCAGAAAGCUGAACGUGUGAUGUCCGUUACUUCUACGCCAAAGGCCAAAAACCACGCCGCGACGACCGUGACCACCACCACCACCACCGAUAACAACAAAGCGUCACCCAAGUCACCAAAGGCUGCUAAGAAAAACAACAACAACAACAACGAAACCAACACCGGCAACAACAACAACAACAACAUCAAACACACCAACAAAACGUCGGCCGGUCCCAGAACGGGCAAGCCGAGCCCUUCCUCGUCCGGCCCCUCUUGCUGCACCUCCUCCUCCUCCUCCUCCCUCUUCACCGCUUUGGCACUGUUAGCUCUCCUGGUCGCCUUCGUGGCGCUGUUUGCGCUCCCUGUGUCACCGGACAAUAAACUGUACGACGAAAUCCGACGGAGGGCCUCAAACAUGAUGGCCACCCUAUCGGGAACUGAUGAGAAAUAAACGGUCAAAGAUAUGAUGUUUAAAUAUCUGCCAAAAAACAGAAUUGGUAUUUUCUGCAAGUCACCUUGCGUCAUAUUAAAUUUGACAUAUCUCAAAAGAGUUCCAGACAUGACAUUCCACAACAAAAAACAGAUUGGGAUAUAAAACUGCUUUCCAAAGUAAAGGGUAACAAAAUUUUGAGUGGAGAUAUCUAAUUACCACAAUGAAAGAAUUAAUGAACUAUCAGAGAAAUUUGUUGCAGUAUUAUUAUAUUUCAUGGAAAAUAUUAAAAAUUUGUUUCAUCAAAA